This 220-nucleotide long non-coding RNA is filed under the name Phoenix dactylifera (date palm). Its description in RNAcentral is "long non-coding RNA (PDAC_LNC010043)". The record is from RNAcentral. Lineage: Eukaryota; Viridiplantae; Streptophyta; Magnoliopsida; Arecales; Arecaceae.
CUAUAUUUGCUUAUAUGAGAAGCUUGUAUUUGAUUUAAACUCUUGUUCUAAUAUCUUGUAACUUGAUUCAAUCAAGGGAUUGAAUCAAGGGGUUAAGGUUGUGGUUGGUGAGCCUUUGGAAAAACCAACUGGGUUGAUUGUGAACCCGGAAAACAAUCGUUGUAAGGUUCUGGUUGGUGAGCCUUUGGGAAAACCAACUGGGUUGGAUUGUGAGCCCGUG